RNAcentral lists this ribosomal RNA (116 nucleotides) under Sulfurimonas sp. The record is from RNAcentral. Lineage: Bacteria; Pseudomonadati; Campylobacterota; Epsilonproteobacteria; Campylobacterales; Sulfurimonadaceae.
CUAGGUGGCUAUAGAGAGAGGGAAACGCCUGGUCCCAUUCCGAACCCAGAAGCUAAGCCUCUCAUCGCUGAUAAUACUGCAGGUUUCACCUGUGGAAAUGUAGGUCGCUGCCUAGU